CCUACGGGUGGCAGCAGUGAGGAAUAUUGGUCAAUGGGCGCGAGCCUGAACCAGCCAAGUAGCGUGAAGGAUGACUGCCCUACGGGUUGUAAACUUCUUUUAUAAAGGAAUAAAGUGAGGCACGUGUGCCUUUUUGUAUGUACGUUAUGAAUAAGGAUCGGCUAACUCCGUGCCAGCAGCCGCGGUAAUACGGAGGAGCCGAGCGUUAUCCGGAUUGAUUGGGGUGAAAGGGAGCGUCGAGGGGUUGUUAAGUCAGUUGUGAAAGUUUGCGGCUCAACCGGAAAAUUGCAAUUGAUACUGGCAGCCUUUAGUACAGUUGAUUUAGGCGGCUUUCGUGGUGUAGCGG
This 346-nucleotide ribosomal RNA is filed under the name uncultured bacterium. Its description in RNAcentral is "partial 16S ribosomal RNA". It matches the Rfam family "Bacterial small subunit ribosomal RNA", at positions 338 to 681 of the family's 1533-position model. The record is from RNAcentral.